GUUUCCUGGUUGAUAUGUUUAGAAACAGUAAAUUUUCUGGACCGUUUGUUUGUCAUCUUUGCAAGCGUGGGAGUUUUAUGGUUGAAUUUGACUGUCUUUUUUCUUCUUUCUUUUGCACCCAUGGGAUGUUCCUUUUGUAGGUUUGUAGUUGUGAUUAAUAAAAUUUGCAUUGUUUGGCAUUAUGAACAUUUAUUCGAAAACCUGCUUAUGAGAACCUAUGCAUCUAGUUGUGUCAGGGACCUGCACUCUAAUUAGUACAUAUUUGGACCUGCAGUAACUCUUAUGAACAUCAAGUGCACCUAUACAACUAAGUUUUUGCAUUGAAGUGCUAGAUGGUAUUUACUAUUUAGUUGCCUUGUGAUUAAUAAAAUUUGCAUUGUUUGGCAUUAUGAACUUUUAUUCGAAAACCUGCUUAUGAGACCCUAUGCAUCUAGUUGUGUCAGGGACCUGCACUCUAAUUAGUACAUAUUUGGACCUGCAGUAACUCUUAUGAACAUCAAGU
This 502-nucleotide long non-coding RNA is filed under the name Zea mays. RNAcentral describes it as "long non-coding RNA (ZMAY_LNC001672)". Lineage: Eukaryota; Viridiplantae; Streptophyta; Magnoliopsida; Poales; Poaceae. The record is from RNAcentral.